UCUGGUAGAUCUUGUCUGCGACGGCGUCGUUGGCCGGCCCUUGAAGAGGCAGAAGGACCCAUUUCGUGUUUUCUUUUCGAAAGCGUUUCCAAAUCUCGGCAAGGCUGUGCAGUCUGGCUGAGUGACUGCGCAGUAACUACUCUUGUCGGAUAGGAUUACGGGAGCAGGCCGGCGUGGACAUGAAGCCGCGGUGACCGACGAUGAGACGGCCCACCUGAGGAGACGUCACAGGUAAAUAUCGGCCCGUGCGAGUCGAGCAGGAUUUUGGCAAGAGGCCCCUGGAUGCAGAGUAAGCAAAGAAGCGGUCGUGCUGUCACUGACCCCGUUGGCGGCCGCCAUCUGCACGAUGACUUCAAUGGCCGUUUGGCUAAAGAAGCGUCCGUCACCCCCCACCACCAGCGCCGAACCCUGGCGGUCACGCAGGUCAAUGGAGGAGAAGAUACACUGGAUGAAAUUGUGCAGAUAGUUCCUCCUGGACUGGAAGACAUGAACCUUUCUUCUCAGACCAUCGCUCCCGGGUCUUUGGUCAGAGUAAGGGGUCGUAGGAACGGUCAGCACCCGCAGAGGACCCUUGUCCAUCUUUGUUUUGAAAUUUUGCCGGUGGCGGGCAAAGCUUGAGGGCCGCUGUUGUUUUGAGACAACGUAUUACAGCUCGGGACGGAACUGCUGGGUGAAAUUUUGACUCCUCCCAUUAUGUCCCCCUCUUCGCGGUGUGCACAGGGUGGCACUGGUCCAUACUGGACCCAAAAUAACCUUGCAUGUGCAGACGCAGGGCGAGUAACUGAAGACGCUCCUUCACACAUGUGCAGGGAGAUCACUGUCAAGACUCAAAGUUGUAUUUGGGUGUGUCUGCAUGCUCGGAAGCACGCCGGCAUGGAGGGAAAGCUGCUCACGACAAUGCAAAACACGCACGGCAUCUCACGUCCAAACAGAAGCGUUAGCAAUGAGCCGGGGCAUUACGAGAUCAGUGGAGAGAAAAUGAAAGGGGAUAGUUGCCUUAUACAAGGUCUUUACAAAACACAUUAUCAACUCUUAUAAUAGAUGCACAACGCCCGUUUAGAGGAAACACGGGCAUGCUAGCAAAUUGGAUGUAAUUCAGUCAAGUCCAACUGUGAUGAUGAACUCAGGAAAUGAGUCAGAGAUUGGAUGCAAUCCAUGAAAAGUAGUAAAUACAUGAAAAAAAGAACUACACUGCCCUCUGCAGUUCAUUCCCAGUAUCUACAACCGAAGAAACUAUUUAACAUUGCUGAGUUUCUUGAUUCUGUUUUCUGCAAACUAAAGAAAAGCAUCACGAGUCAGCACAAUAGUUUGUCUUUUUAUUCCAUCUGGAAUUAAAAUCCACCUCAUAAUAAAAGCUACGCAAAUUCUGAGUCUAUCUAUAGAUGCAGUAUUAUGCACCAUAUUGUAAUCAUCAGAACAACAUAUUCAAUUCAAAUA
Molecule: long non-coding RNA, 1437 nt
Organism: Syngnathus acus (greater pipefish)
Lineage: Eukaryota; Metazoa; Chordata; Actinopteri; Syngnathiformes; Syngnathidae
Exons: 2
Source: RefSeq, a predicted model, not a curated record